AAGACCUUGCGCCUUUGGAGCGGCCGAUGCCUGAUUAGCUUGUUGGUAAGGUAAAAGCUUACCAAGGCUUCGAUCAGUAGCUGGUCUGAGAGGACGGCCAGCCACACUGGGACUGAGACACGGCCCAGACUCCUACGGGAGGCAGCAGUGGGGAAUUUUGGACAAUGGGGGCAACCCUGAUCCAGCCAUGCCGCGUGAGUGAAGAAGGCCUUCGGGUUGUAAAGCUCUUUCAGCCGGAACGAAACGGUUACGGUUAAUACCCGUGACUACUGACGGUACCGGAAGAAGAAGCACCGGCUAACUACGUGCCAGCAGCCGCGGUAAUACGUAGGGUGCGAGCGUUAAUCGGAAUUACUGGGCGUAAAGCGUGCGCAGGUGGUUUUGUAAGUCAGAUGUGAAAGCCCCGGGCUCAACCUGGGAACU
RNAcentral lists this ribosomal RNA (423 nucleotides) under uncultured bacterium. Its description in RNAcentral is "bacterial SSU rRNA". It matches the Rfam family "Bacterial small subunit ribosomal RNA", at positions 207 to 622 of the family's 1533-position model. The record is from RNAcentral.